RNAcentral lists this long non-coding RNA (201 nucleotides) under Elaeis guineensis (African oil palm). RNAcentral's name for it is "long non-coding RNA (EGUI_LNC062707)". The record is from RNAcentral. Lineage: Eukaryota; Viridiplantae; Streptophyta; Magnoliopsida; Arecales; Arecaceae.
AGGCUUUAAUCUUUUAGAAUUUCUUUUGUUCUUUUCUUUUAUCUAAAAAAAAACUUAUAAAAAUUGAAAUUUUUUAUAUUUACUCUAAGAUAUAAUUGUAGAAUUUAUAUUUGGACAUCAUUUAUUAUGACUUAAAAUUCAACCCUUAGAUCCAGAAAUUGAACGAACCCUUAGAGCCAACAAACCUAAAAUCAUAGACCA